UUGGGUUUAAUAUAGUUUUAUCCUGUAAAAUUAUCAAAUUUUGUAUUUAAUUCCUAUAAAAAAAAAUGGAAUAUUGAAUCAUUAAGAGAACUGAGUUAAAUUAUAGCAAAUUAGAGUUAAAUUAUUGAAUUAUUAGGAAGUUGUUUCUUUAAGUAUUUAAUUAUUUUAAAUUAAAAUAAAAUUACCACCCACUACCUAAAAUUAAGGAUGUGUGAUUGUUGUUUUUAGCAAUGAUCUCGUUACAAUAUUGCUGCUAAUGUAUUAUACUUCCCAACAACACUUAAAUUGUUGCAAAAAAGUCGCAGCAAAAACUAUCAAUUCUUG
RNAcentral lists this long non-coding RNA (324 nucleotides) under Trifolium pratense (red clover). Its description in RNAcentral is "long non-coding RNA (TPRA_LNC004221)". Lineage: Eukaryota; Viridiplantae; Streptophyta; Magnoliopsida; Fabales; Fabaceae. The record is from RNAcentral.